GUUUUAAUAAUUUAAUAAUAAAAUAUUGGUCUUGGAGACCUGAAAUAAGAAACCUUUUAAAACU
Molecule: transfer RNA, 64 nt
Filed under: Geoscapheus dilatatus
Lineage: Eukaryota; Metazoa; Arthropoda; Insecta; Blattodea; Blaberidae
Description: tRNA-Thr
Source: RNAcentral